UCUCCACAAUUACAACAUCUUUUUCGGUGACUAAUUGCAACAGUACAAUUUCAAAGGCAUAAAUGUCCAUCUUGAAAGUCGUUGACCCGGUCACAAUGUCCUUAGGUGUCAUGUAUUGUGGCAUCACCACAAGUUCCCAAGUCAUGCCUUAGGUAUCCAUUUUUUGGCAAGACUGAAGAAUAUUUCACUAAGUUGAGUGAAUAUAUGAGGAAUUGACUCCUUAAUAUCGAGAAAUUUGAGAAGGCAGCUCAAGAGGUUCAAGGAAAGC
RNAcentral lists this long non-coding RNA (268 nucleotides) under Capsicum annuum. RNAcentral's name for it is "long non-coding RNA (CANN_LNC006411)". Lineage: Eukaryota; Viridiplantae; Streptophyta; Magnoliopsida; Solanales; Solanaceae. The record is from RNAcentral.